AGCUGUGUGGUAAGUACAAAGCUAACUAUUCUUUCGCCUUUUACUAAAGAAUACCGUGUGCUUGCCACUUUAAACAGCAUACGCUUAUUUUUGGGAGAGCUUUCCUUGACUGGAAGGU
Molecule: non-coding RNA, 118 nt
Organism: Lupinus angustifolius (narrow-leaved blue lupine)
Lineage: Eukaryota; Viridiplantae; Streptophyta; Magnoliopsida; Fabales; Fabaceae
Source: Rfam